This 124-nucleotide ribosomal RNA is filed under the name Salmonella enterica subsp. enterica serovar Muenchen. RNAcentral's name for it is "partial 23S ribosomal RNA". It matches the Rfam family "Bacterial large subunit ribosomal RNA", at positions 1 to 123 of the family's 2925-position model. RNAcentral also lists the same sequence under 5 other names. The record is from RNAcentral. Lineage: Bacteria; Pseudomonadati; Pseudomonadota; Gammaproteobacteria; Enterobacterales; Enterobacteriaceae.
GGUUAAGCGACUAAGCGUACACGGUGGAUGCCCUGGCAGUCAGAGGCGAUGAAGGGCGUGCUAAUCUGCGAUAAGCGCCGGUAAGGUGAUAUGAACCGUUAUAACCGGCGAUACCCGAAUGGGG